Molecule: ribosomal RNA, 253 nt
Filed under: uncultured bacterium
Lineage: Bacteria
Description: partial 16S ribosomal RNA
Rfam family: Bacterial small subunit ribosomal RNA
Source: RNAcentral
UACGUAGGGGGCAAGCGUUGUCCGGAAUCAUUGGGCGUAAAGCGCGUGUAGGCGGUCCGGUAAGUCCGCUGUGAAAGUCGGGGGCUCAACCCUGGGAUGCCGGUGGAUACUGUCGGGCUCGAGUCCGGAAGAGGCGAGUGGAAUUCCUGGUGUAGCGGUGAAAUGCGCAGAUAUCAGGAGGAACACCAAUGGCGAAGGCAGCUCGCUGGGACGUGACUGACGCUGAGACGCGAAAGCGUGGGGAGCAAACAGG